This 324-nucleotide ribosomal RNA is filed under the name Triticum aestivum (bread wheat). RNAcentral's name for it is "partial small subunit ribosomal RNA". Lineage: Eukaryota; Viridiplantae; Streptophyta; Magnoliopsida; Poales; Poaceae. The record is from RNAcentral.
AUGUGCCUGUACGUGCCCUCUACACCUGGGUCGAUUUCCUCCUCAGCUGCGGCGGUGGCCAAUGUGUGCAUCAUCUCUUCUCUUUCCAAUCAGAUGCUGGGUGCAAAACUCCAACAAUACUUCCAUCUGCAGCAACAAACUCUGGUAGAGUUAACUCACGUCAGCAUAAGGCAUGAAGCUUUGGAAUAUGCAGAAAAAGUACUUGCACUAAGAGGUGCAUUUGGAUGCAAGGAACCAUUGGUGCGCAUAUGCUACUGCCACAAAAUCAAUUUCCCAUCUACUUCUUAUUUCAGUCACAUGAAUGGUAUCAAUGCAAACAAUUAG